This 321-nucleotide ribosomal RNA is filed under the name Triticum aestivum (bread wheat). RNAcentral's name for it is "partial small subunit ribosomal RNA". Lineage: Eukaryota; Viridiplantae; Streptophyta; Magnoliopsida; Poales; Poaceae. The record is from RNAcentral.
AUGGCGCGCCUCCCCUGCCAGGGAUGCCGCCCUCCUUCCUCAUCUGCGCCGAGCCCCGCGGCCACUUCGUCCAUGUCGCCCCGCGCCUCCGUCCCGCGAGACCGCCCGCUCCUCCCAUCACCACCCGCCGCCGUCGGUGACCACCAGGAGGGCCACCUCCGGCCUCCCCGUCUUCUGCUUCGCCUCCUCGCACCCCUGCUUCGGCCUCGACAGCCUCCCGUGGAUGCAACCUCCUUUGCGGCCAAGGCCAACGCCGGCCACUGCUUCCAGCUGCUGCUCGGCCAUGCGCCAGCAUCCAGCAGCUCGAGCGGUCCCCGGUGA